RNAcentral lists this ribosomal RNA (522 nucleotides) under uncultured Glomus. RNAcentral describes it as "SSU rRNA". It matches the Rfam family "Eukaryotic small subunit ribosomal RNA", at positions 569 to 1092 of the family's 1831-position model. Lineage: Eukaryota; Fungi; Glomeromycota; Glomeromycetes; Glomerales; Glomeraceae. The record is from RNAcentral.
AGCAGCCGCGGUAAUUCCAGCUCCAAUAGCGUAUAUUAAAGUUGUUGCAGUUAAAAAGCUCGUAGUUGAAUUUCGGGAUUAGUACGUUGGUCGUGCCUUCGGUACGUACUGGUGUUACUGGUUCCUACCUUCUGACGAACCAUCAUGUCAUUAAUUUGGUGUGGCGGGGAAUCAGGACUGUUACUUUGAAAAAAUUAGAGUGUUUAAAGCAGGCUCGCGCUUGAAUACAUUAGCAUGGAAUAAUGAAAUAGGACGUUCGACCCUAUUUUGUUGGUUUCUAGGAUUGACGUAAUGAUUAAUAGGGAUAGUUGGGGGCAUUAGUAUUCAAUUGUCAGAGGUGAAAUUCUUGGAUUUAUUGAAGACUAACUACUGCGAAAGCAUUUGCCAAGGAUGUUUUCAUUAAUCAAGAACGAAAGUUAGGGGAUCGAAGACGAUCAGAUACCGUCGUAGUCUUAACCAUAAACUAUGCUGACUAGGGAUCGGAUGAUGUUAAUUUUUUAAUGACUCAUUCGGCGCCUUACG